Long non-coding RNA from Xenopus tropicalis (tropical clawed frog), 278 nucleotides. RefSeq lists it as uncharacterized. NCBI's taxonomy places the organism in Eukaryota, Metazoa, Chordata, Amphibia, Anura, Pipidae. The transcript is spliced from 2 exons. The record is from RefSeq and is a predicted model, not a curated record.
UGCUACAGUCAGAGGCGGGCUAAGUUGGCCGGGCGCCCUAGGAGACCCAGCCAGCCACCUCACCCCCACUGCUGUCAGCAAACCCCUCCCCACACGCAAGCGUGCAUACGUGGGGAUGCUGGUAGUGGAGGGAGCGCUGAGUCGGGAUAAUGCAGAAGCAAAACAUAAAGCCGCAACACCAUCAUAGGCCCAAAUAUCUUUUCAGCUCUACCCCCAAUCUGUAGCUAAUCAUGCCACGGAAAAGGACAAAAUACAGUUAAUAAACAUCUCCAGAAAUA